GAUGAACGCUAGCGAUAGGCCUAACACAUGCAAGUCGAGGGGCAUCACAUGAAGUAGCAAUACGGAUGGUGGCGACCGGCGCACGGGUGAGUAACACGUAUGCAACCUGCCUUCAACAAGGGGAUAACCCGUUGAAAGACGGACUAAUACCCUAUAACACAGGGGUCCCGCAUGGGAAUAUUUGUUAAAGGACAACCGGUUGAAGAUGGGCAUGCGUUCCAUUAGCUAGUUGGAGAGGUAACGGCUCCCCAAGUCAACGAUCAUUAGGGGUUCUGAGAGGAAGGUCCCCCACACUGGUACUGAGACACGGACCAGACUCCUACGGGAGGCAGCAGUGAGGAAUAUUGGUCAAUGGGCGAGAGCCUGAACCAGCCAAGUCGCGUGCAGGAAGAAUGUCCUAUGGAUUGUAAACUGCUUUUGCAGGGGAAUAAAGUGAGCCACGUGU
This 445-nucleotide ribosomal RNA is filed under the name uncultured bacterium. Its description in RNAcentral is "bacterial SSU rRNA". It matches the Rfam family "Bacterial small subunit ribosomal RNA", at positions 28 to 463 of the family's 1533-position model. The record is from RNAcentral.